GAUGAAGAACGCAGCGAAAUGCGAUACGUAAUGUGAAUUGCAAAUUCAGUGAAUCAUCGAGUCUUUGAACGCACAUUGCGCCCCCUGGUAUUCCGGGGGGCAUGCCUGUCCGAGCGUCAUUACUGCCCUCAAGCCCGGCUUGUGUGUUGGGCCCCGUCCUCCGAUCCCGGGGGACGGGCCCGAAAGGCAGCGGCGGCACCGCGUCCGGUCCUCGAGCGUAUGGGGCUUUAUCACCCGCUCUGUAGGCCCGGCCGGCGCUUGCCGAUCAACCCCAAUUUUUAUAGGUUGACCUCGGAUCAGGUAGGGAUACCCGCUGAACUUAAGCAUAUCAAUAAGCGGAGGA
RNAcentral lists this unclassified non-coding RNA (343 nucleotides) under soil metagenome. Its description in RNAcentral is "partial contains 5.8S ribosomal RNA, internal transcribed spacer 2, and large subunit ribosomal RNA". The stretch from base 1 to 119 matches the Rfam family "5.8S ribosomal RNA", at positions 35 to 154 of the family's 154-position model. The record is from RNAcentral.